This 576-nucleotide ribosomal RNA is filed under the name uncultured bacterium. Its description in RNAcentral is "bacterial SSU rRNA". It matches the Rfam family "Bacterial small subunit ribosomal RNA", at positions 620 to 1197 of the family's 1533-position model. The record is from RNAcentral.
ACUGCCAUUGAUACUGUUUUUCUUGGUUCCCCCUGAGGUAGGCGGAAUGUGUAAUGUAGCGGUGAAAUGCUUAGAUAUUACACAAAACACCNAUUGCCGUAGGCAGCUUACUAAGCCAAGACUGACGCUGAGGCACGAAAGCGUGGGGAGCAAACAGGAUUAGAUACCCUGGUAGUCCACGCUGUAAACUAUGAUCACUAGCUGUUGGCGAUACAAUGUUCAGCGGCAAAGCGAAAGCAUUAAGUGAUCCACCUGGGGAGUACGAUCGCAAGAUUGAAACUCCAAGGAAUUGACGGGGGCCCGCACAAGCGGUGGAACAUGUGGUUUAAUUCGAUGAUACGCGAGGAACCUUACCUGGGCUUAAAUGCAAAUUGGCGUUUCGGGAAACCGGAAUUCCCUUCGGUGGCAAUUUGCCAGGAGCUGCAUGGCUGUCGUCAGGUCGUGCCGUGAGGUGUCAGGAUAAGUCCCAUAACGAGCGCAACCCUUAUCCUUAGGUGCCAGCGGGUAAAGCCCGGGACUCUAACGAAACUGCCGGUGUAAACCGAGAGGAAGNGGGGAUGACGUCAAAUCACCCCG